This 774-nucleotide ribosomal RNA is filed under the name uncultured Neocallimastigales. RNAcentral's name for it is "partial large subunit ribosomal RNA". It matches the Rfam family "Eukaryotic large subunit ribosomal RNA", at positions 24 to 634 of the family's 3401-position model. The record is from RNAcentral. Lineage: Eukaryota; Fungi; Neocallimastigomycota; Neocallimastigomycetes; Neocallimastigales.
UAUGUGAUCGUCUCUCGCAUAUCAAUAAGCGGAGGAAAAGAAACUAACAAGGAUUCCCCUAGUAACGGCGAGUGAAGCGGGAAGAGCUCAAAUUUGAAAUCUUAAAGGGUUUCCCUUUACGAAUUGUAGUUUAAAGAAGUGUUUUCUGUUGAGGUUUUGGUAAAAGUUCUUUGGAAUAGGACAUCAUAGAGGGUGAGAAUCCCGUAUUUGACCUUUACUUUCAACUUUGUGAUACACUUUCAAAGAGUCGGAUUGUUUGGGAAUGCAGUCCAAAAUGGGUGGUAAAUUUCAUCUAAAGCUAAAUAUUGGCGAGAGACCGAUAGCGAACAAGUACCGUGAGGGAAAGAUGAAAAGAACUUUGAAAAGAGAGUUAAACAGUACGUGAAAUUGUCAAAAGGGAAGCGUUUGACACCAGUGUUGUUUUUCUGAAAAUCAAUUAAAGAACUGUUUAUGCUAAGUUGUUUAGACUUUAUCAGCUAUCUGUUUAGUUUUGAGCUUUUCUUUAAUGCACUUUUCAGUUAACAAGUCAACGUCAAUUUCUUUUGCUGUAAAAAAGCUUGAGGAAGGUGGCUUGAGAUUCGUCUUAAGUGUUUAUAGCCUCUUGCCUAUGCAGUCGGAGAGAUUGAGGUCUGCAGCGUAGAUCCUUCGGGGCUAAAUGCAUUUGUGCUAAGUUAUAGCAUUUUAUAGACAACUUGUUGACUAUGAUUUGUCUUGUAGCUUACUCGCUUAUGUUAUUUUACCUACGCUUAGGAUGUUGAUCUACAGAGCGAGAGU